RNAcentral lists this ribosomal RNA (492 nucleotides) under uncultured bacterium. RNAcentral describes it as "partial 16S ribosomal RNA". It matches the Rfam family "Bacterial small subunit ribosomal RNA", at positions 29 to 507 of the family's 1533-position model. The record is from RNAcentral.
AGUGAACGCUGGCGGUAGGCCUAACACAUGCAAGUCGAACGGCAGCACAGUAAGAGCUUGCUCUUACGGGUGGCGAGUGGCGGACGGGUGAGGAAUACAUCGGAAUCUACUUUUUCGUGGGGGAUAACGUAGGGAAACUUACGCUAAUACCGCAUACGACCUACGGGUGAAAGCAGGGGAUCUUCGGACCUUGCGCGAUUGAAUGAGCCGAUGUCGGAUUAGCUAGUUGGCGGGGUAAAGGCCCACCAAGGCGACGAUCCGUAGCUGGUCUGAGAGGAUGAUCAGCCACACUGGAACUGAGACACGGUCCAGACUCCUACGGGAGGCAGCAGUGGGGAAUAUUGGACAAUGGGCGCAAGCCUGAUCCAGCCAUACCGUGUGGGUUAAGAAGGCCUUCGGGUUGUAAAGCCCUUUUGUUGGGAAAGAAAAGCAGCAGGUUAAUACCCCGCUGUUCUGACGGUACCCAAAGAAUAAGCACCGGCUAACUUCGUG